AAUAGAUGACACUGUUGACUUUUUCGUAUAUGUUUGACCAUUUGUCUUAUUCAAAAAAUUUACGUAAUUAUAAUUUAUUUUGUUAUGAGUUGUUUUAUCACUCAUAGUACUUUAAGUGUGAUUUAUAUCUUAUAUAUUUGCAUAAAGUUUUUGAAUAAGACAAAUGGUCAAACAUGUAAGAAAAAGUCAACGGCGUCAUCUAUU
This 204-nucleotide microRNA precursor is filed under the name Oryza sativa Indica Group (long-grained rice). RNAcentral's name for it is "MIR812 microRNA precursor family". It matches the Rfam family "MIR812 microRNA precursor family". Lineage: Eukaryota; Viridiplantae; Streptophyta; Magnoliopsida; Poales; Poaceae. The record is from Rfam by way of RNAcentral.